RNAcentral lists this ribosomal RNA (484 nucleotides) under uncultured bacterium. RNAcentral's name for it is "partial 16S ribosomal RNA". It matches the Rfam family "Bacterial small subunit ribosomal RNA", at positions 29 to 523 of the family's 1533-position model. The record is from RNAcentral.
AGUGAACGCUGGCGGCGUGCUUAACACAUGCAAGUCGAACGAGAACGGGUUAUAGCUUGCUAUAAUUGUCAGCUAAGUGGCGCACGGGUGAGUAAUGUAUAGGUAAUAUGCCUCUUACUAUGGGAUAACAAUUGGAAACGAUUGCUAAUACCUUAUACUCCUUAUUAACCUAAGUUAAUAAGGGAAAGAUUUAUUGGUAAGAGAUUAGCCUGUAUUGUAUCAGUUAGUUGGUGGGGUAAUGGCCUACCAAGACUAUGACACAUAACUGGUUUGAGAGGAUGAUCAGUCACACUGGAACUGAGACACGGUCCAGACUCCUACGGGAGGCAGCAGUGGGGAAUAUUGCACAAUGGACGAAAGUCUGAUGCAGCAACGCCGCGUGGAGGAUGACACAUUUCGGUGCGUAAACUCCUUUUAUAUGAGAAGAUAAUGACGGUAUUAUAUGAAUAAGCACCGGCUAACUCCGUGCCAGCCGCCGCGGUAA